CGUCACACUAUCGUUAACUGAAUACAUAGGUUAACGAGGCGAACCGGGGGAACUGAAACAUCUAAGUACCCCGAGGAAAAGAAAUCAACCGAGAUUCCCCCAGUAGCGGCGAGCGAACGGGGAGCAGCCCAGAGUCUGAAUCAGCUUGUGUGUUAGUGGAACGGUCUGGAAAGUCCGACGGUACAGGGUGAUAGUCCCGUACACCAAAAUGCACAGGUUGUGAACUCGAAGAGUAGGGCGGGACACGUGGUAUCCUGUCUGAAUAUGGGGGGACCAUCCUCCAAGGCUAAAUACUCCUGACUGACCGAUAGUGAACCAGUACCGUGAGGGAAAGGCGAAAAGAACCCCGGCGAGGGGAGUGAAAAAGAACCUGAAACCGUGUACGUACAAGCAGUGGGAGCACCUUCGGGUGUGACUGCGUACCUUUUGUAUAAUGGGUCAGCGACUUAUAUUCUGUAGCAAGGUUAACCGUAUAGGGGAGCCGCAGGGAAACCGAGUCUUAACUGGGCGUUAAGUUGCAGGGUAUAGACCCGAAACCCGGUGAUCUAGCCAUGGGCAGGUUGAAGGUUGGGUAACACUAACUGGAGGACCGAACCGACUAAUGUUGAAAAAUUAGCGGAUGACUUGUGGCUGGGGGUGAAAGGCCAAUCAAACCGGGAGAUAGCUGGUUCUCCCCGAAAGCUAUUUAGGUAGCGCCUCGUGAAUUCAUCUUCGGGGGUAGAGCACUGUUUCGGCUAGGGGGUCAUCCCGACUUACCAACCCGAUGCAAACUACGAAUACCGAAGAAUGUUAUCACGGGAGACACACGGCGGGUGCUAACGUCCGUCGUGAAGAGGGAAACAACCCAGACCGCCAGCUAAGGUCCCAAAGUCAUGGUUAAGUGGGAAACGAUGUGGGAAGGCACAGACAGCCAGGAUGUUGGCUUAGAAGCAGCCAUCAUUUAAAGAAAGCGUAAUAGCUCACUGGUCGAGUCGGCCUGCGCGGAAGAUGUAACGGGGCUAAACCAUGCACCGAAGCUGCGGCAGCGACACUAUGUGUUGUUGGGUAGGGGAGCGUUCUGUAAGCCUGCGAAGGUGGCCUGUGAGGGUUGCUGGAGGUAUCAGAAGUGCGAAUGCUGACAUAAGUAACGAUAAAGCGGGUGAAAAGCCCGCUCGCCGGAAGACCAAGGGUUCCUGUCCAACGUUAAUCGGGGCAGGGUGAGUCGACCCCUAAGGCGAGGCCGAAAGGCGUAGUCGAUGGGAAACAGGUUAAUAUUCCUGUACUUGGUGUUACUGCGAAGGGGGGACGGAGAAGGCUAUGUUAGCCGGGCGACGGUUGUCCCGGUUUAAGCAUGUAGGCUGGUUGUCCAGGCAAAUCCGGAUAAUCAAGGCUGAGGUGUGAUGACGAGGCACUACGGUGCUGAAGUAACAAAUGCCCUGCUUCCAGGAAAAGCCUCUAAGCAUCAGGUAACAUCAAAUCGUACCCCAAACCGACACAGGUGGUCAGGUAGAGAAUACCAAGGCGCUUGAGAGAACUCGGGUGAAGGAACUAGGCAAAAUGGUGCCGUAACUUCGGGAGAAGGCACGCUGGUGUGUAGGUGAAGUCCCUGCGGAUGGAGCUGAGACCAGUCGAAGAUACCAGCUGGCUGCAACUGUUUAUUAAAAACACAGCACUGUGCAAACACGAAAGUGGACGUAUACGGUGUGACGCCUGCCCGGUGCCGGAAGGUUAAUUGAUGGGGUUAUCCGUAAGGAGAAGCUCUUGAUCGAAGCCCCGGUAAACGGCGGCCGUAACUAUAACGGUCCUAAGGUAGCGAAAUUCCUUGUCGGGUAAGUUCCGACCUGCACGAAUGGCGUAAUGAUGGCCAGGCUGUCUCCACCCGAGACUCAGUGAAAUUGAACUCGCUGUGAAGAUGCAGUGUACCCGCGGCAAGACGGAAAGACCCCGUGAACCUUUACUAUAGCUUGACACUGAACAUUGAGCCUUGAUGUGUAGGAUAGGUGGGAGGCUUUGAAGCGUGGACGCCAGUCUGCGUGGAGCCAACCUUGAAAUACCACCCUUUAAUGUUUGAUGUUCUAACGUUGGCCCCUGACCGGGGUUGCGGACAGUGUCUGGUGGGUAGUUUGACUGGGGCGGUCUCCUCCCAAAGCGUAACGGAGGAGCACGAAGGUUAGCUAAUCCUGGUCGGACAUCAGGAGGUUAGUGCAAUGGCAUAAGCUAGCUUGACUGCGAGCGUGACGGCGCGAGCAGGUGCGAAAGCAGGUCAUAGUGAUCCGGUGGUUCUGAAUGGAAGGGCCAUCGCUCAACGGAUAAAAGGUACUCCGGGGAUAACAGGCUGAUACCGCCCAAGAGUUCAUAUCGACGGCGGUGUUUGGCACCUCGAUGUCGGCUCAUCACAUCCUGGGGCUGAAGUAGGUCCCAAGGGUAUGGCUGUUCGCCAUUUAAAGUGGUACGCGAGCUGGGUUUAGAACGUCGUGAGACAGUUCGGUCCCUAUCUGCCGUGGGCGCUGGAGAAUUGAGGGGGGCUGCUCCUAGUACGAGAGGACCGGAGUGGACGCAUCACUGGUGUUCGGGUUGUCAUGCCAAUGGCACUGCCCGGUAGCUAAAUGCGGAAGAGAUAAGUGCUGAAAGCAUCUAAGCACGAAACUUGCCCCGAGAUGAGUUCUCCCUGAGACUUUAAGUCUCCUGAAGGAACGUUGAAGACGACGACGUUGAUAGGCCGGGUGUGUAAGCGCAGCGAUGCGUUGAGCUAACCGGUACUAAUGAACCGUGAGGCUUAACCUU
Molecule: ribosomal RNA, 2763 nt
Filed under: Klebsiella pneumoniae
Lineage: Bacteria; Pseudomonadati; Pseudomonadota; Gammaproteobacteria; Enterobacterales; Enterobacteriaceae
Description: bacterial LSU rRNA
Rfam family: Bacterial large subunit ribosomal RNA
Source: RNAcentral